Molecule: ribosomal RNA, 953 nt
Filed under: Staphylococcus aureus
Lineage: Bacteria; Bacillati; Bacillota; Bacilli; Caryophanales; Staphylococcaceae
Description: partial 23S ribosomal RNA
Rfam family: Bacterial large subunit ribosomal RNA
Source: RNAcentral
GAUUGACUAAGGUUUCCAGAGGAAGGCUCGUCCGCUCUGGGUUAGUCGGGUCCUAAGCUGAGGCCGACAGGCGUAGGCGAUGGAUAACAGGUUGAUAUUCCUGUACCACCUAUAAUCGUUUUAAUCGAUGGGGGGACGCAGUAGGAUAGGCGAAGCGUGCGAUUGGAUUGCACGUCUAAGCAGUAAGGCUGAGUAUUAGGCAAAUCCGGUACUCGUUAAGGCUGAGCUGUGAUGGGGAGAAGACAUUGUGUCUUCGAGUCGUUGAUUUCACACUGCCGAGAAAAGCCUCUAGAUAGAAAAUAGGUGCCCGUACCGCAAACCGACACAGGUAGUCAAGAUGAGAAUUCUAAGGUGAGCGAGCGAACUCUCGUUAAGGAACUCGGCAAAAUGACCCCGUAACUUCGGGAGAAGGGGUGCUCUUUAGGGUUAACGCCCAGAAGAGCCGCAGUGAAUAGGCCCAAGCGACUGUUUAUCAAAAACACAGGUCUCUGCUAAACCGUAAGGUGAUGUAUAGGGGCUGACGCCUGCCCGGUGCUGGAAGGUUAAGAGGAGUGGUUAGCUUCUGCGAAGCUACGAAUCGAAGCCCCAGUAAACGGCGGCCGUAACUAUAACGGUCCUAAGGUAGCGAAAUUCCUUGUCGGGUAAGUUCCGACCCGCACGAAAGGCGUAACGAUUUGGGCACUGUCUCAACGAGAGACUCGGUGAAAUCAUAGUACCUGUGAAGAUGCAGGUUACCCGCGACAGGACGGAAAGACCCCGUGGAGCUUUACUGUAGCCUGAUAUUGAAAUUCGGCACAGCUUGUACAGGAUAGGUAGGAGCCUUUGAAACGUGAGCGCUAGCUUACGUGGAGGCGCUGGUGGGAUACUACCCUAGCUGUGUUGGCUUUCUAACCCGCACCACUUAUCGUGGUGGGAGACAGUGUCAGGCGGGCAGUUUGACUGGGGCGGUCGCC